This 126-nucleotide non-coding RNA is filed under the name Polaribacter reichenbachii. RNAcentral describes it as "SAM-I sequence". It matches the Rfam family "SAM riboswitch aptamer (S box leader)". Rfam says of the family: The SAM riboswitch is found upstream of a number of genes which code for proteins involved in methionine or cysteine biosynthesis in Gram-positive bacteria. The SAM riboswitch acts at the level of transcription termination control. Lineage: Bacteria; Pseudomonadati; Bacteroidota; Flavobacteriia; Flavobacteriales; Flavobacteriaceae. The record is from Rfam by way of RNAcentral.
ACGUUAUCACGAAAGGCAGAGGGAUUAGACCCAAUGAAGCUUUGGCAACCUCUCAGAAAUGAGAAAGGUGCUACAUUCUACAAUCUAUUUUGAUGAUUUAUCAAAACAGUAAUUGACAGAUAACAG